Molecule: ribosomal RNA, 443 nt
Filed under: uncultured bacterium
Lineage: Bacteria
Description: partial 16S ribosomal RNA
Rfam family: Bacterial small subunit ribosomal RNA
Source: RNAcentral
CCUACGGGUGGCAGCAGUGGGGAAUAUUGGGCAAUGGGCGCAAGCCUGACCCAGCAACGCCGCGUGAAGGAAGAAGGCUCUCGGGUUGUAAACUUCUUUUAUCAGGGACGAAGCAAGUGACGGUACCUGAUGAAUAAGCCACGGCUAACUACGUGCCAGCAGCCGCGGUAAUACGUAGGUGGCAAGCGUUAUCCGGAUUUACUGGGUGUAAAGGGCGUGUAGGCGGGAAAGCAAGUCAGAUGUGAAAACCAUGGGCUCAACCUGUGGCCUGCAUUUGAAACUGUUUUUCUUGAGUACUGGAGAGGCAGACGGAAUUCCUAGUGUAGCGGUGAAAUGCGUAGAUAUUAGGAGGAACACCAGUGGCGAAGGCGGCUUACUGGACUGCAACUGACGUUGAGGCUCGAAAGCGUGGGGAGCAAACAGGAUUAGAUACCCCUGUAGUC